Long non-coding RNA from Salvelinus namaycush (lake trout), 976 nucleotides. RefSeq lists it as uncharacterized. Lineage: Eukaryota; Metazoa; Chordata; Actinopteri; Salmoniformes; Salmonidae. The transcript is spliced from 4 exons. The record is from RefSeq and is a predicted model, not a curated record.
AGCGCAGUUCCUCUUCAGUGUGAGAGUGUACCUGACUGGUAACGGGAGCUCUCUUUGGGUCUCUUUUCUAUCACGGCACUCUGUCGGUAGAGGAUGUCUGCACAGGUCCCCUGUGCUGUGGUACAACUCCAUAUGGUGUAGAGGACCGAGGGGUGCUGUGCUGUAACCAGACGUUGCACCGUGGGGUGGAGGCUGGGCACCAGUGCUCCCCAGGUGGCCACUUGUAUCUGCCGUCCCGUGACAUGGUGUGUGAGUCACACGUUCAUCUCGAUGAUCCAGGCAAACACUGCUGUGACCCUCAGGAUGAAAUCUGUUGCAACGGACUGAAGUGCUUUGCUCUUUUGGGUGGAACACUGCUAAGCUGUCCACCUCCUUGACAAUUCCCCGUCAGAAGAAGCGUAGAUGCAUCCUGAUGCAUGCAUCCUGAUGAUCACGUCUGGCUCUCCACCAGAAACCUCCUGCUCCGCCUGCCCUGCCGGUGGUUCCUGGUCCCCUGGCUGAUUCCAUCUCCCACGAGACCCCUCCACCUCCCUUGGACAUCGAGUGAAGCCCCGUCCAUACAGUCAGAUCCCUCCUGGACUCCCGAAUUUGUGGGGGUCGGCUCCAGUACCUGGUGGACUGGAAAGUGUACGGUCCAGAGGAGUGGUGUUGGUUUCGGUGGAUGACAUUCUAGAUCCCAACAUCAUCUGAGGGGGGGUUGGAGGGUACUGUCUUCUCCUGCUCACUAACUGGUAGACGUUGUGCCGGUUUACUAACCACAGGACCUGGAAACCCAUCUUUACGCACACCUGGCAACCCUCAUUACGCACACCUGCGUCUCAUCAUCAGUCACACUUAGACUUCAUAACUCAUCCUUUAUAUAGUACCCUUCUGUUAGUAGUCGUCAGGUAGUAAUAUUUAUGUUUCCAUGUCAGACGCUUCUCAUGUUUUGUGCCGUUCCAUGUUCAUUAUUAUUAAACUCACUAACUGCACUCGU